Molecule: long non-coding RNA, 1001 nt
Organism: Cephus cinctus (wheat stem sawfly)
Lineage: Eukaryota; Metazoa; Arthropoda; Insecta; Hymenoptera; Cephidae
Exons: 4
Source: RefSeq, a predicted model, not a curated record
GGACGGAGUAUACCCGUCUAGAGGAUUUACAUAUAUUUCGAGCUCAGUCGACGUCUGGUAUUUCCACCGAGUGACGUGAAUUUAAAAAUUGCUGAAGCUACGAGGAAACAUAAUUCGCAUUGUUCCAAGCCUUAAGGCCGCCACGGUUGCGGUCUGUUACGCCCACGGACCCGCCGAUGGACGGAUGCUGGAAGCGUAGAGUCGUACGGACGGACGGGGAGACUUCGGUGUACCAGCUAAGAAGCGGAGACUAAAGAAACUCGACGGGACAGAGAGCGUCAUUGGAUUCGUAGGAUGAACAUCGACAGGUAAAUCUGAUUCCAAGUAAUGUUUGAAAAAAUUCAAAAAGUGUAAUGUGCAACGAAAAAUUUUCAACGCCAUAAUUAGACGCUUGUCAUGUGACCACCUGUAGCAGAAAUUUAAGGACUACGUCAAAACGAAUUUUUAUAAGUAUGUAAUACCGUUAAAACCUAUAAAAUUUGGACUUCUGUUUAUGGCACAGUCACGUCAUAUCCCAUCGCUUUCAUUGUUUCAAUGGUUUUUAUACGAAUCCCUUGAUCCUCCGUGGAAAUCUAUACCGUAUGCUCAUGACUGAAGUUUAUUCCAAGGACAUAUCCAAACAGAAUAAUAGAAUUUAUUAGAACCCACUUGCCAUUAAAGCAUUGUUCGCCCUUGUGAGUACCGCGAGCCGGCGGGUCUCAUUGUACCCUAUAAUGAAAUUCGUACAAAGGGGUGUAGCCCACAAAACAUGUGUGGGGUAGAUGGGGACGAGAGACGAAUGUCUCAUGCAGGGCAACCCGAUCUCAUGUGCACCAGAUGGGUAAUCAGAAUUCACGUGGAAGGAAAAGGAAGGUUUCCUUUGUCUGACAUAGAAACGAGCCCUAAGGGUUCCAAUUAUUCACCACGAGUUUGCAAAAGGGGUAGGCUAAGUCGCAAGAGUUGUAUUAGAUAAAAUUAUGACAAAAUUAUUUGAAUAAUAUAAAUGUUUGUCAUUGAUAAAA